Equus caballus (horse) is the source of this 6399-nucleotide long non-coding RNA. RefSeq lists it as uncharacterized. The record is from RefSeq and is a predicted model, not a curated record. NCBI's taxonomy places the organism in Eukaryota, Metazoa, Chordata, Mammalia, Perissodactyla, Equidae.
AAAAUAAAAAAUAAAAAAAUAAUUAAAAAAAAAAGAAAUAACAAUUUGGUCCCAGUCUUCACUGUCAGUGGCUGCUGAGGGUCCCCUGCCCUGGUGAGCGAGAGGCAGAGGAGGGAAUGGCCCCGUCCUCACCCCGUUACGGGAUUCCAGUCCCCUUCUGCCUGGUAGUGUCCACUUCUUACAGUUUUCAAGGACAUGCUUUCUGUGCUCUGAGCAGGGUGCCAUUUGUCAUCUGAGACAGAGAGGUUGUGUGGGGCUUUCUCCAUGUUGGCUCAACCAGAAGUCUACUGUCGCUUUAAAAUAAACGUAUUCGUGUUGUCCCAUAUGGUGACAUCUCCUUCUCUUUUCAGGCCAAAUAGCAUUCCACGGCGUGUAGACCCCACCUUUUCCUUAUCCAGUCUCCUGUCAACGAGAGUUAAGCUGUCUCUGUGUCUUGGCUUUUGUGAAGGAUGCUGCAGUCACAUGGGGCAGAGAUCUCUCCGAGAGGCUCCUUUUGAUUUUUUGGACAUGUACCCACAAGUGGGGUUGCUGGGUCGUGCUAAGUGAAAUGGACCAGUCACCGAAGGACCAGUACUGUGUGAUUCCGCUCAGGGGCUGCUCUGCACCUGCCAGCACGGCUCCCGUCUCUGAUUCCGAGAGUCCUGGUGUGGACAAGACAGAGAGGUCAUCUGGUCAGUCCUUCUCACUUUCCCGAAGGCCCCUGGGACAUUAGUUCCCAUCCUCCACACAAGGAAAUCGAGUCUCAUAGAGGUGAUAUGACCUGCCCAGAGUCACACAGCACAGAAGUGGACGAGAUGUAAUUUGAACCAGGUUCCUGGAUUCCAAAUGCCAGAGAUAUGACCGCCACACUGUCGCACUGCCCAAGGCAGGUACUGUUUAUUGAGUCCUACUAUGUGCUUGGGACUGGGCGAGGCUGGGAGAUACAGAGAUGAGAAGGCAGACCAUUCUGUGGUGUUUUUCAUCUGUCCUCUCCCCUGGGAACCUGGGAGCCAUGUAUCCCCAACACCUCGCACAGAGCUUGGCCCACCGCAGGGCUUCAGUGAAUGUUGGCUGAAGAAUGAAUGAACUGCUGCAAAUGAUAGAAGAAUAAGCAUAUUUUGUGAUUUCUCUGGGGUCUGUCCCCUUGACACUGUGUUCCCAGCACCUGGCACCAUGCCUGGUAGUGGCUCCGUAGGGAGACCAACUGGACCCGGACUCAGGCUUGGACUCCUGCCGAGUGGGUGUUUCUGCACAGCCACAGCACUUCUUGAAGCCUCAGUGUCCUCAUCUGCUCAGUGGGGAUAAUAAUUGCAUCUCCUUCAGAGGAUCAGGGAGAUCGCCCAAGUGAACGCCUGUGUGACAGCACAGGGCCCUCCCAGGAAAAGGCGUCCACUACUGAGCAGGUCAAACUUCAGAUCCUGUCACUAGCUGCCCGAGGAGCCACUUGAAUCGAAGGAGGGCUUAGGAAGGUGGUUCUUGCAGUUUGGUGUGAACUUAGAACACCCAACAGACCAUUGGCAUGGCAUAAUCACUUUAUGUAGAUGAGACAAGCAGGAAGUCGGCACCACCGUGUCCAGGGGAGGGCGCUGCUACCUGGUGGCCUGAGGUCAAUCUCAUGUGAAAGCAAUGUGAACCUGGAAGGUUACUGAGCCCUCUGCUUCUCAGUUCCCUGGUCUGGGAUGUGGAAAUGUUAACAGGACCUGCUUCUUAGCAUUGUGUUAUGACGCUAAAAAUAAGUAAAUACAAAGCCCAAAGAAAAUGAUUUGUGCGUAGAUGCUCCCUCCAUCAGUGCUCAAGUAUUAAAGGCCCAGAAGGAUCAGCAGGAGUGCAGUACUGGAUGUCUCCAGAGGGAGCGCAUGGAAGGCUGCGAAACAGGAGGCUGCAAACCUUCCUUGUCCACGCUGAAAUCAGAGGUUUUGGAGCCCUUGGAAACAAUCUGUUCUUUCCUCUGAGGCUCACGUCUGCGCUGUGGGGUGGGCAGAGUGGGAGCUGUGGCCCAUCUUUAAUGGUCCGGGGCACUGUAACGUAGAGGGAGUCAGUGACUUGCCCAGGGUCACAACACUGAUGCAUGAUGGAUCUGAGGUGGGGAUCUGGAUGGUUCCCUGGGAGAGAGGUCCCUGAGCUCAUGCCCUGGACGCCGGGACCAAGAGCUCUCCUCACUCCUUCCCCACCUCCUCCUGCCCCAAGGCUGCUGCGGGGAGACAGUGGGCACCCCAAGGAGGUGCCUCAUCCAAGAGAAUGGCUCCCAUCCUGACCCCAUUCCUGGCUCUGUUCCAAUCUCUGAGCUAAAAUUCAAUCCCUUGCCCCCAAAUAAAGUCACCCUAAUGGACCGAGGGGAUCCAAACAUGUGUCCGUCCACCCCUCACUUGCCCCCAGCCUGGAUUCUGUCAGAUCCUUGGAGUGAGACUUCCUGGGGGUCAGGUGGCCACGAAUGAUCAGUAGUCUGCAUGACCCCCACCUGGGUGAGAACCCAGGACGGUCCACACCCACUGCCCACAUGACGUUUGCACCAAGAAUUAGCUUCCUCUUCAACUGGCCAAAGCUGGAUGAUGAGCAGUUAAUAGUAACUGACUGGGAAAGGGGUCUGCUGGGCUGCAGCUUAGGUGGCUCGAUGAAUGGCGUCCACAGGCCCCCGGCGUCUUGCUGACUGGAGGUCUGACCAGCCAUCUGAGCAGUGAGAGCGGGCAGGGGCUACACCAGGCUUGAGCGUGCCCCUUCCCCACCCGAGUCCUGCCUCACUAAGAUCCAGGCUUUGCUCUACACACGACAAGCAUUACUCUUGAAUCUACUCACUGGUACUGUUUCCACAGGACCUUCUGUGGAGUGGUCAGGGGGGUGAUAUUUGUGGCUCUACCCUGUCGUUUGGCCGGAUGCCCAUUUUGAUGUGCUCAACCACUGCCGGCGAUGGCCAGUAGGUUUCCUUGACCACAGGUGAUUUUCUUGUGCAUCUUAUAUUUGAAUCCCCUAUGAUCUUCAUUUUCUUUUUGUAACCCGAGACAUGAUUUUGGGAAGUACACUAAAAAUGGAGACAACUGUUGAUAUGUUGCUGGCUGCAGACACGCAUGGAGGAGGACUCCCUGAGGUGGCUCCGUGGGACCCAGAAGGCAGCUAAACAUGGGCCUCUCUCGCAUGUAAGCAAGUGCAAGCUUUAUUCCUAGUCCAGGAUUUGGGAUUUGGGUGAGGAGAGGAGACCAGAAACAUGCUCAACAUUAUGCUUUCCCCGCUCACUUCUCCAGAAGGCUCCGGGAGCCUGUGCAGGAGGCUAAGAGGAAACAUUCUCCAUGUCACUCACCCUGAGAGCGCCCUUCAAGCCAGGAGUGAGCAGAGGACAGAACACAACAGUGCUGCUGCAGGAGCUGAACAUGUGGAGGGAGAGGGGCCCUUCUCGCCACCUGCUGACACACGGAGAGCACACUUGAAGCCACAGACACGCUCCUACUCUCAUGUCAUUAACACGUGAAAGAGCACAGCAAGCCAUCACAUGUAUUUCCUUCUUUCUCAUUUCAUGCCCCUCUUCCUCCGUCUCCAGAGCAGUGGGUGUAACCCGACUGCCCCGGGCUCCCGCUCCCAUUGGAUGCCAGCUGAGUGAUGUUCCCACUUGGAGAGUCCUCCUCCUCGCUGUGGGAGUCACACCCCCUGUCAACCAUCCAAUCUUCAGAGACACAGACAUCAGCAAGAAAGUGAUUGCAAGGAGGGGCUCACCCACUCCUUCCACUCCACUCGAGGCCCUGAUGGCUCCCACAGCCUCACCCUGCUCUUUGCUCUUGGCUCUCAGACCUUCCCUGGGCUCCGUGAGUCAGAAUCCUUCAAGGAGACAUUGGUCACAGUUGCAAACCCUCAAAUGAGAGAGGGGACCCCCUUCCACUUCUCACUCCUCAUUCCACUGGAUCGGGAUAGCUCCAGCCUCCAAUGGGAUCAACCUGAGCCUCCACCUGAGAUGCACACACUCGGGUUAAAUGAGUUCAGCGAGCAGACCCUGCGCCAGGCUCAGAGCAGCUGCCCAAGAGGAUGUUCUGUGCAGAUGGAAAUGUUCUGUGCUGUAAACGUUGGCUACUGGGCACUUGAAAUGUGGCUGUGUGAUGAGGGACCGAUGCUUAAUUUGAUUUGCUCUAAUUAAGUUAAACAUGAACACGCCCGUCUCCCUAGAGGUACCACACUGGAUAACACGACUCCAGAAUCCAAAGAUGAGGACGACACAACCCCCCGCCCCUGGUUGCUCCUGCAGAGCAGUCUGUGGCCUGAUCCGACCAUUCACUUGUAGGUUCUUCUGGGCACAUGCGCACAGGCCAGCCACUACAUGAGGCCCUGGGGACACUCAAACAGUAAGGUCAACGCCAGCUCCUAGAGGAUUCCCGCAGGGGCCCACCUGUAAGCAGAGGUGCAGAGCAUGCUGGGCACACCUGUGCUGGCCAUAGAGCGUGAGGUGGGGGAGGGACACUUCACUGUCUUCUGGAGCCCCCUUCUCACCCCUGAUCUGGACUGGAGCUUGGGCAGGCACCUAGCUCAGUGUGGGGCCCAACAGGCCUGGACCAGCUGAGGGGAGCCAUUCCCACACUUGAACCAGGUCCCAGCCCAGGGCUGUAUCAUCAGAUGUUUAUUGGGGCCUGAGAGUUGUUGUCGAGGGCUGAGCGCUGGGGUGAGAAGGGAUGAGGAAGACACAGGGGUGCCCGCACAGUGACCUCCAUGGCCAGGACUCCUGUCCCCGCAAGUGAGAGGAUACAUACAGUCUGGGCCUGAGAGUCCCGGGGCCUUUCAGAGAAACGCUCACACUGACGACCUCCUGGCCAUGGAAGGAAGAGCAAGGACCACCUCCACCUGGGAUCAGCCCCCAUCUCUUUGCUGACCUCACCCUGCCCUGGAGCCCAUGCCCCUCUCACCUCCUCUGCUGCUAGAAUGUUCUACAGCAGCCCUGGCCAAGUGGUGUGAGAUUUCUUCAGUUUAAAUGUGUUCCUGGGCCAGACAACCUUUGGGAACAGUGUGCAGACAAGGACUGGUUGUCAGGUGACUUCCAGAAACAGGUGAAAAAUAGAAACUGGUCCCUCCAGGCCCCAGGGGCACAGGCCUGGGAACCCCCCCUGUCUGUGGCGCCCCUGUGCUUCCAUCCCUGCUGAGCCACCUCCUAGCCAAUCCCAGCCAGAGCCAGAAUCAGGCUGCUCUCCACGCUAAAGCCGGCAUGUUUUUUCCUCAGCAAGUGAGAGAUUCCAGAAUAUAUCCCACUUCUUCUUGUUCCUGAGGCCACCUGCGAUUACAGAGGAGAAAACACUGGGGAUCAGGCCACAACGGGUAUUGUUUGCACAGCUUGUCCAUUCUCUUUGUGACCUUGGGAAACCACGUGGGAAACCAGGGUCAAGUCAAAGGCCUCAAAGCAGGUGCAGAGGACGCCUCUGGUGUGUCUCUCCAGUCCAUCCUGGUGGCAAUGACAAAAUUCUUAAGCCAAGGAGAAAGACUGCUGCUGAGCCAAAGGCCCCCAGCAUCCAGUGUAUGACGGAGGCUGUCACUUGUAGGUAUCCUCUUGGAUCAGAGGUCAGCUGGUAAGAGACUCUCACUCAACACUCCCCCCACCAUGGAAAUUGUAUGUAUCACCCCUAACAUGCAUGGUCAGGUUUUCAUAUGUGAAUUUGAUUGUAAAGGAAAGAAACCAAGAAAGCAGCAUUUCUAUUUCAGACAAAGAAAGUGACCUUAUCUUGGCAACAGAUGGGGCCUCUUCCUCUGCCCUGUCCCAGGGAAGCUCCUCCAGCAGGCACUCGGGGGAUCUCGGAGGGCGCAGUCACUGUCAGUCAUUGGUGGUGCAGCUCAGGAAUUACUCAGGGAGCUUUGCUUGAUGUGGACAUGGGGCCAACAUGUAUAGAGGUAGUUGGUCAACAAGCACAGACUGAGGUGCUGCUGGAUGAAGGAAGGCAAAGGGGAGGAGGAAGAAAGAAGUGAGAAACAGAGUCCUUGGCCUUGCAGCUAAAGGCAACCUUAAGCAAGGAGAAUUAGUCAGUCUACAAGUGGUUCUAAACCACACGCUGUGAUCGAGUGGCAGAGUCCCAUCGCCCCUCCUCCCUGUGGUGGAGCUCAUCUCAUUGCCAUGAUCUUGGCCUCUUCUAAGACCUUCUCAGUCUCCAUGGAAAUGAUGUCACUACUGCAUUUAUUGUCUGCUGUGUGGGAUUUCUGACUUGAUUAAAAGCAGACCUUUAUUGGUGGAAUAGAUUUAAUUACAGACAAUACAUUCUAUUGUACUUGUUCACUAAUUCUUUGUCAUAAAGAUACCCAAACAUGGAAGACAUUUGAUGGAAAUACUGAAAUACUGCCAUUUAAAAGUAAUCAUUAUUAGUCAUGUUAUUUUUACUUCCAGUCUUGCUUUUCUUUGUUACGUGUGGCUGUCUUGCUCCGGUGGCAGUGCAGUGGUGGCUCAUCGUGAGGGGUGGGGUAUGGGGU